AUUGAACGCUGGCGGCAGGCCUAACACAUGCAAGUCGAACGAGUGGCGGACGGGUGAGUAAUGUCUGGGAAACUGCCCGAUGGAGGGGGAUAACUACUGGAAACGGUAGCUAAUACCGCAUACCAUCGGAUGUGCCCAGAUGGGAUUAGCUUGUAGGUGAGGUAACGGCUCACCUAGGCGACGAUACCUAGCUGGUCUGAGAGGAUGACACGCAACACGGGAACUGAGACACGGUCCAGACUCCUACGGGAGGCAGCAGUGGGGAAUAGUGCACAAUGGGCGCAAGCCUGAUGCAGCCAUGCCGCGUGUAUGAAGAAGGCCUUCGGGUUGUAAAGUACUGUCAGCGGGGAGGCGUUACCCGCAGAAGAAGCACCGGCUAACUCCGUGCCAGCCGCCGCGGUAAUAC
This 406-nucleotide ribosomal RNA is filed under the name uncultured bacterium. Its description in RNAcentral is "partial 16S ribosomal RNA". It matches the Rfam family "Bacterial small subunit ribosomal RNA", at positions 30 to 526 of the family's 1533-position model. The record is from RNAcentral.